Molecule: RNA transcript, 2403 nt
Organism: Hermetia illucens (black soldier fly)
Lineage: Eukaryota; Metazoa; Arthropoda; Insecta; Diptera; Stratiomyidae
Gene name: sodium-independent sulfate anion transporter-like
Exons: 9
Source: RefSeq, a predicted model, not a curated record
AUAUGUUUUUCGUUCGGUUACAUUGUUUCCAGUCAAUUAAUCGCGAGAUCGUUAUUGAUAAGAUUCAGUGAAAAGAGCCUGAAACGCAAACAGACGGAAAUCUAGAAUCUAAUCAAGACUACUCCAACUCUGUCAUCGUACAAGAUAGAUAUCGCAUCGGAAUCGGUGUUGAAUUGAAAACCGCCAUAACUUGUUUUGCUUCUGAAACUAGAAAGUCUAGACAUUUCCACUUAGGGCCCUUUUCUUAUAAUUCAGUGCGUGCAAAAAAUCUCGGAACAGCCGGCAUUUUCACAAAGCAAACAGUCUGUUCCGUGAUCUCCUAGUUAGCGAAUGGUCUGUUUAUAAUGAAUCAGAUACGUACGUAGUGUGUAGUUGCAUGAUACUGCUGCGUUGUUGGAAAGUGUAUUAUAAUAGUUAAUUGCAAUAUUCAUCAAAAUGAGUAGGUCGUCGGCCGGAAAUCGCAAUUCAGCAGUAGUCGUCGACCAAGAAAGUAGCAAUCAGUACUAUCAAGAAGAGUUCCCAAAUGUGAUAAGCGUGCUGAAAAAUGGGACAAAGUCGGCUUGCUCGAGGUCGGCACUAACAAAUCGGCUGCCAAUAACCAAGUGGCUUCCAGACUAUAAAUUAAUUUACUUAUUAAGAGAUUUUAUCGCGGGGUUGACCGUUGGACUCACGGCGAUACCGCAAGGAAUAGCGUAUGGAGUUGUGUCCGGGCUUGGGCCCCAGUAUGGCCUGUACGCAGCCUUCAUGGGAAGCUUUACCUAUAUUCUAUUCGGGUCGUGCAAAGACAUCACUAUAGGCCCAACAGCAAUUAUGGCAUUGAUGGUGCAGCGCUAUGUUGACAUCAGCGUCGACUUUGCUAUUUUGGCUUGCUUCUUGACUGGAGCAGUGAUAACACUCUUUGGCCUUCUACAUUUCGGAUUCCUGGUGCAAUUCAUAUCAGCCCCGGUAACAAAUGGAUUCACAACCGCCGCUGCGAUUACAAUCGCUAGUGGGCAAAUUAACGCUCUUCUGGGAAUUCCAAGUAAAUCAAACGACUUCGUUGCAAUCUGGGUAAAUGUUUUCACGAAAAUAGAUCAAACCCGAUUCACAGAUUUAGGGUUAGGUCUGGGAACAAUUGUAUUUUUAAUAUUGUUGCGAAAAUGCACACAGUUGACCGGAAAAUUAAAAUUAUUCGGGAAGUACCUGUCGUUGUCUCGAAAUGCCUUAGCUGUGAUAAUCGGUGGAACACUAGCUUAUAUAUUUAGCAUUUAUGAUCUCUAUCCAUUCAGGUUGACUGGUAAACUUCAAGCAGGCCUUCCACCUUUCCAAUUGCCACCGUUUUCAACGGUUACCAAAAACGGGACGGAUCUCGAUUUUGCUGAUAUGGUCAACACUCUCGGAUCAUCGAUUAUUGCAAUCCCGAUUGUAUCAAUUUUGGAUACAGUCGCUAUAGCAAAUGCUUUCUCCAAAGGAAAAACGGUCGACGCUUCGCAAGAAAUGGUCGCCUUAGGAAUAUGCAAUAUUGGCGCCUCAUUUUUCUCAUCAAUGCCGAUAACUGGGUCUUUUACUAGAACAGCAGUCAACAGUGCCAGUGGGGUUAUGACACCCCUAGGCGGGUUGUUUACGGGUGUUCUUGUUCUGCUUGGCCUUGGAUUCCUUACCGAAACGUUUUAUUUUAUUCCAAAGUCCGUUCUAGCUGGCAUUAUAAUAUUGGCUAUGUACUACAUGGUUCACUUCGAUAAAAUAGCCGAUAUAUGGCGUGCAAAACGAAUCGACAUCUUGCCGUUUAUUGUGACAGUUCUGGCAUGCCUUUACCUUGGCUUGGAGAUUGGGAUUUUGUGUGGAGUAGCGCUGAGCGUCCUGUUCAUAUUGUACGACACAGCACGUCCAGAAGUCUUUAUUGAAGCUAGGAAGACAAAUGAACUGAAUACCAACAAUUUGAAGCCCGCCAUAUUCGUUCAGUUCGGUCUGUCAGUUGCGCCGGAAGAACCCGUAAUGCACAGUUGAAUUCAAAGCAUCAUUCACGUACUGACAAGCGACAGCAUCAUUAGUGCAUCUCUGGACGUGGAAGGCGUUGACACGACAAUUUGAGAUAUUUAGGUGUGUGUGCAUUUAUUAAAAAUGAUCACCAGCGAUAAAGAUGCCCAUAGAAUUCUCACUCACAGCCUAAACGGACAUUCCUGACCGGUUGGUCGAAUUGUUUUUCAUUCGUUCACCGGCCGCUUGAACACACCAACUGUAUCCCAUCCAACUGCGGACUAUUCAGGCGUAACUGAGAGGUUGAAAGAUCGAGGGAAACGAUAUUCUUUUGGUGAAACCAUCUCAGAAUUUAGUGUUUUCCUCCGCCGAAUAUUUGAAAAGCCGAAUAAUUGGGACAGUUUCGGAUCUCCGGUCGAAUUCUAUUUUCAUAAUUAUCGAUGGCGA